RNAcentral lists this ribosomal RNA (492 nucleotides) under uncultured bacterium. RNAcentral describes it as "partial 16S ribosomal RNA". It matches the Rfam family "Bacterial small subunit ribosomal RNA", at positions 29 to 507 of the family's 1533-position model. The record is from RNAcentral.
AGUGAACGCUGGCGGUAGGCCUAACACAUGCAAGUCGAACGGCAGCACAGUAAGAGCUUGCUCUUACGGGUGGCGAGUGGCGGACGGGUGCGGAAUACAUCGGAAUCUACUUUUUCGUGGGGGAUAACGUAGGGAAACUUACGCUAAUACCGCAUACGACCUACGGGUGAAAGCAGGGGAUCUUCGGACCUUGCGUGAUUGAAUGAGCCGAUGUCGGAUUAGCUAGUUGGCGGGGUAAAGGCCCACCAAGGCGACGAUCCGUAGCUGGUCUGAGAGGAUGAUCAGCCACACUGGAACUGAGACACGGUCCAGACUCCUACGGGAGGCAGCAGUGGGGAAUAUUGGACAAUGGGCGCAAGCCUGAUCCAGCCAUACCGCGUGGGUGAAGAAGGCCUUCGGGUUGUAAAGCCCUUUUGUUGGGAAAGAAAAGCAGCAGGUUAAUACCCCGCUGUUCUGACGGUACCCAAAGAAUAAGCACCGGCUAACUUCGUG